UGACCCUGAGAUCAUGACCUGAGCUGAAAUCAAGAGUCCAGUGCCUGGCUGAGCCACCCAGGAGUCGAUGCCACUGCAAGAAGCCACUGUCUUUACUCCCUAAGAAGCAGCUCAUCUGUCUCCUGAAUCUGCAGCAGUUCAGCCUCAUCGCCAGGCUCCUCUUCUAGUUCUAGCUCUCUUGCUGUGUCCACCUUAUCUGCAGUUACUUCCUCCGCUGAGGUCUGGAAUCCCUCAAAGUCAGCCAUCAGGGCUGGAAUCCACUUCUUCCAAACUCCUGUUCAUGAUCUUUGACCUCUUCCCACAAGUCACAAAUAUUCUUGAUGGCGUCUAGAAGAGUGAAUCCUUUCCAGAAGCUUCUCAGUUUGCUUUACCUAGAUCCAUCAGAGGAGUCACUGGCCAAGGCAGCUACAGCCUGACGACAUGCAAUUCUCAUUAAGUCGUAGGACAUGAAAAUUGAAAUGACUCCUUGAUCUGUGGGCUGCAGGGUCGAUGUGUUGGCAGGCACGAAACAGCAUUCAUCUCCUUGCACAUCUUGACAUCAGAGCUCUUGGGCGACCAGGUGUAUUGUCAGCAGUCAUAUUAUGAAAGGAUUUUUUUUUUUUUCCCUGAGCAGCAGGUCUCAAAUGUGGGCUUAAAAUACUUAGUAAACCAUGUUGUAAACA
Long non-coding RNA from Canis lupus familiaris (dog), 662 nucleotides. RefSeq lists it as uncharacterized. The transcript has 2 exons. NCBI's taxonomy places the organism in Eukaryota, Metazoa, Chordata, Mammalia, Carnivora, Canidae. The record is from RefSeq and is a predicted model, not a curated record.